AACGAACGCUGGCGGCAUGCCUAACACAUGCAAGUCGAACGAGACCUUCGGGUCUAGUGGCGCACGGGUGCGUAACGCGUGGGAACCUGCCCUUAGGUUCGGAAUAACUCCCCGAAAGGGGUGCUAAUACCGGAUAAUUUCUUCGGACCAAAGAUUUAUCGCCUUUGGAUGGGCCCGCGUUGGAUUAGCUAGUUGGUAGGGUAAAAGCCUACCAAGGCGACGAUCCAUAGCUGGUCUGAGAGGAUGAUCAGCCACACUGGGACUGAGGCACGGCCCAGACUCCUACGAGAGGCAGCAGUGGGGAAUAUUGGACAAUGGGCGAAAGCCUGAUCCAGCAAUGCCGCGUGAGUGAUGAAGGCCUUAGGGUUGUAAAGCUCUUUUACCCGGGAUGAUAAUGACAGUACCGGGAGAAUAAGCUCCGGCUAACUCCGUG
RNAcentral lists this ribosomal RNA (433 nucleotides) under uncultured bacterium. RNAcentral describes it as "partial 16S ribosomal RNA". It matches the Rfam family "Bacterial small subunit ribosomal RNA", at positions 29 to 507 of the family's 1533-position model. The record is from RNAcentral.